This 494-nucleotide ribosomal RNA is filed under the name uncultured bacterium. RNAcentral describes it as "partial 16S ribosomal RNA". It matches the Rfam family "Bacterial small subunit ribosomal RNA", at positions 28 to 507 of the family's 1533-position model. The record is from RNAcentral.
GACGAACGCUGGCGGCGUGCUUAACACAUGCAAGUCGAACGGUGAAGCGCCUUCCUUUUUGGUGGGUGUGGAUGAGUGGCGAACGGGUGAGUAACACGUGAGUAACCUGCCCCCUUCUUCUGGAUAACCGCAUGAAAGUGUGGCUAAUACGGGAUAUUCUGGGUCUGUCGCAUGAUGGGUCUGGGAAAGAUAUUGUUUCGGUGGGGGAUGGGCUCGCGGCCUAUCAGCUUGUUGGUGGGGUGAUGGCCUACCAAGGCGGUGACGGGUAGCCGGCCUGAGAGGGUGGACGGUCACACUGGGACUGAGACACGGCCCAGACUCCUACGGGAGGCAGCAGUGGGGAAUAUUGCACAAUGGGCGCAAGCCUGAUGCAGCGACGCCGCGUGAGGGAUGGAGGCCUGCGGGUUGUGAACCUCUUUCGCCAGUGAAGCAGGCCUGCCUCGUCUGUGGGUGGGUUGACGGUAGCUGGAGAAGAAGCGCCGGCUAACUACGUG